GCCGCAUGAAGCUGAGCAAUAACAGGUCUGUGAUGCCCUUAGAUGUCCAGGGUCUGCACGCGCGCUACACUGGAGGAAUCAGCGUGCUGUAACCAUUGCCGAAAGGUAUUGGUAACCCCUUGAAAAUCCUCCGUGAUCGGGAUCGGGAAUUGCAAUUAUUUCCCUUGAACGAGGAAUUCCUAGUAAGUGUGAGUCAUCAGCUCACGUUGAUUACGUCCCUGCCCUUUGUACACACCGCCCGUCGCUGCCCGGGACUGAGCCGUUUCGAGAAAAGCGGGGACUGCUGUUUCGAGACCUUUCGGGGUGGAGAUUCUUUGGUGGAAACCGCCUUAAUCGCAGUGGCUUGAACCGGGCAAAAGUCGUAACAAGGUUUCCGUAGGUGAACCUGCGGAAGGAUCAUUA
RNAcentral lists this ribosomal RNA (402 nucleotides) under Anisakis typica. RNAcentral describes it as "SSU rRNA". It matches the Rfam family "Eukaryotic small subunit ribosomal RNA", at positions 1433 to 1831 of the family's 1831-position model. Lineage: Eukaryota; Metazoa; Nematoda; Chromadorea; Rhabditida; Anisakidae. The record is from RNAcentral.